GCUUACGUGGUGGCAAUACGGUAAGUCGCUACGUUGCUUGAAUGCUACUCUAGUUAACGUUGACCAUCACCAUGAGGUGGGUUCCGCCGGAAUUUUUAAUCUCAAGGAAGGCUCUUCGCUGCCUUGAACGUCCCUCAAGGAAGCGACAUUUGUCAAGCCGCUGCCAUUACUGUUUUGCCGUCAACGUCGUUCUCGUCAAGUUGUAUCAUUGCGUACAGAUGGAUGAUCGUGCACAGGACUGCAUUACUUCUGCAAAAUAUUUAAAGGCUCUGGGAUCUCGUGAGUCCGAAAGUAUCAUCUGCGCUACAAUGAAAAAUCCUCUUGGUAGCAUGCCAUGUAUUCAACGGGACAGUAACAACAAAUUCAGUCUGCAUCAUUCACGCCAGUUUGACCGCAGGCGAGCCCCAGCAAAGGAGGACCCUCAAGUGGCAUAUUUCUUCUGAUUUCAGUGCGUUGCGGCACCAUCACGUGGAGGCUCGUGUGAACAUGUGCUACCAAGAAACACGUAGAGUAAUAUUUAUUUAUUACCGAACUUGUUGUGUAGCUUCCACAGCA
This is a non-coding RNA of Dermacentor albipictus, 555 nucleotides long. NCBI's taxonomy places the organism in Eukaryota, Metazoa, Arthropoda, Arachnida, Ixodida, Ixodidae. The record is from RefSeq and is a predicted model, not a curated record.